This 500-nucleotide ribosomal RNA is filed under the name uncultured bacterium. RNAcentral's name for it is "partial 16S ribosomal RNA". It matches the Rfam family "Bacterial small subunit ribosomal RNA", at positions 30 to 523 of the family's 1533-position model. The record is from RNAcentral.
AUUGAACGCUGGCGGCAUGCCUUACACAUGCAAGUCGAACGGCAGCACGGGAGCAAUCCUGGUGGCGAGUGGCGAACGGGUGAGUAAUAUAUCGGAACGUGCCCAGUCGUGGGGGAUAACGCAGCGAAAGCUGUGCUAAUACCGCAUACGAUCUAUGAAUGAAAGCGGGGGAUCGCAAGACCUCGCGCGAUUGGAGCGGCCGAUAUCAGAUUAGAUAGUUGGUGAGGUAAAGGCUCACCAAGGCGACGAUCUGUAGCUGGUCUGAGAGGACGAACAGCCACACUGGAACUGAGACACGGUCCAGACUCCUACGGGAGGCAGCAGUGGGGAAUUUUGGACAAUGGGCGAAAGCCUGAUCCAGCAAUGCCGCGUGCAGGAUGAAGGCCUUCGGGUUGUAAACUGCUUUUGUACGGAACGAAACGGUGAGCUCUAAUACAGUUUGCUAAUGACGGUACCGUAAGAAUAAGCACCGGCUAACUACGUGCCAGCCGCCGCCGUAA